CUAAGUUCCUCCUUUUCUUCCGUCUAUUGACGGAACUCUGGGCUCCCGGAUUUGGUGGUUGUGUACGUGGAAGAAGCCCGCGCAUGCGCGGCUCGGGCCUUUUCGUCUCAGCUGUGCGCGAAGGGCUGAGGGUAACGUCCCGGGCUCGGGGGGGAUUGUCAGAGUCAUGGCCCGCCGCUGACCGGGCCCGCCGUUUGAGGAAGGGGGCGAGGCCGUUCCGCAGCACCCCUCCCCGGGCCUCAGGCUGGUCGGCCUGGCCCUCCGCCUUCCCGCUUGGUGCUGCCGCCGCCACUGCCGGCUGAGGAGGGGAGAUGAGUUGGUUCAACGCCUCCCAGCUUUCCAGCUUCGCGAAGCAGGCCCUGUCCCAGGCCCAGAAGUCUAUCGACAGGGUCCUAGAUAUCCAGGAAGAGGAGCCGAGCGCCUGGGCCGAGACCAUUCCGUACGGAGAGCCGGGAAUAAGUCCCCCUGUCAGUGGAGGAUGGGAUACUUCAACCUGGGGGUUAAAAUCAAACAGUGAACCUCAGAGUCAGCCUGUAGCCUCUCCUAAAGCAAUAACAAAGCCAGUUCGGAGAACUGUGGUAGAUGAAUCUGAAAAUUUCUUCAGUGCCUUUCUCUCUCCAACGGAUGUCCAGACCAUUCAGAAGAGUCCAGUGGUAUCAAAACCACCAGCUAAAUCACAACGACCAGAAGAAGAAGUAAAAAGCACUUUACAGGAAUCCUUGCCCACUGGACAGUCAAGAACCUCGGAAACAACGGAGUCACAAGUGAAAGACUCUACUCCAUGUGUAUCAGGGGAAACUCUGGCAGUAGAUACUCCGUCGCCAAAAACUGAGGGCAAGCAUGAAGAAACUGUUAAUAAAGAAUCUGAUACGAAGGUAUCAACUGUACGUUUGAAGGUAUCCGAAAAUGUAAUUAAUGUGAAAACAACUAGGGAAAACAUACCUAAUAUGUCGACUGCAGAAACAAAGGACGUGGCUUUGGAACCUAAGGAACAAAAACAUGAAGACAGACAGAGUAACACACCUUCUCCUCCAGUUAGUACCUUCUCGUCUGGUACUUCUACCACCAGUGACAUUGAAGUCUUAGAUCAUGAAAGUGUAAUAAGUGAGAGCUCAGCAAGUUCGAGACAAGAGACUACAGAUUCAAAAUCAAGUCUUCACUUGAUGCAGACAUCUUUUCAGCUUCUCUCAGCAUCUGCUUGUCCUGAAUAUAAUCGUUUAGAUGAUUUCCAGAAACUCACUGAGAGUUGCUGUUCAUCUGAUGCUUUUGAAAGAAUAGACUCGUUUAGUGUGCAGUCAUUAGAUAGUCGUAGUGUAAGUGAAAUCAAUUCAGAUGAUGAACUGUCAGGCAAGGGAUAUGCUUUAGUACCUAUUAUAGUUAAUCCUUCAACUCCAAAGACUAAAGUAAUUGAAUCUGUUGAAGGAAAAUCUGAAGAAGAAGUAAAUGAAACAUUAAUUAUACCCACUGAAGAAACAGAAAUGGAAGAAAGUGGACGAAGUGCAACACCUGUUAAUUGUGAACAGCCUGAUAUCUUGGUUUCUUCUACACCAGUAAGUGAAGGACAUACUGUCUCAGACAAAGUGGCCGAGCCGCAUGAAACUGCUGAAAGUAAGCCAGAAGCACAUUCUGAGAAGGAAGAUGUUUGCAAGAGAGUCGAAUUUCUGAAUGAGAAACUGGAUAAAAGGGAGGCUCAGUUAUUAUCUCUUAGUAAAGAAAAAGCACUUCUAGAAGAAGCCUAUGAUAAUCUGAAAGAUGAAAUGUUUAGAGUGAAAGAAGAAAGCAGCAGCAUUUCUUCCUUGAAAGAUGAAUUUACUCAAAGAAUUGCAGAAGCAGAAAAGAAAGUUCAGCUAGCCUGUAAAGAGAGAGAUGCUGCUAAAAAGGAAAUCAAAAGUAUAAAAGAAGAACUUGCUACUAGAUUAAAUAGUAGUGAAACUUCAGAACUUUUGAAAGAGAAAGAUGAGCAGAUCCGAGGGUUAAUGGAAGAAGGAGAAAAACUUUCAAAACAGCAGCUGCAUAAUUCUAACAUUAUUAAGAAAUUAAGAGCUAAAGACAAAGAAAAUGAAAAUAUUAUUGCAAAACUGAACAAAAAAGUUAAAGAGCUAGAAGAAGAGUUGCAACAUUUAAAACAGGUCCUUGAUGGCAAAGAAGAGGUUGAGAAACAACAUAGAGAAAACAUUAAAAAACUAAAUUCUUUGGUAGAACGCCAAGAGAAGGAUCUUGGCCGACUUCAGGUAGACAUGGAUGAACUUGAAGAAAAGAACCGAAGUAUUCAAGCUGCUCUGGAUAGUGCAUACAAAGAACUUACUGAUCUCCACAAAGCCAAUGCUGCAAAAGAUAGCGAGGCACAGGAAGCUGCUCUGAGUCGUGAAAUGAAAGCCAAAGAAGAACUUUCAGCAGCACUAGAGAAGGCCCAAGAAGAAGCCCGUCAGCAGCAAGAAACGUUAGCGAUUCAAGUGGGAGACCUCAGGCUGGCACUGCAACGUGCAGAGCAAGCGGCUGCCAGAAGAGAGGAUUAUUUACGCCAUGAGAUCGGUGAACUCCAGCAGAGACUUCAGGAAGCAGAGAAUCGAAACCAAGAGCUGAGUCAAAGUGUUUCAUCAACAACAAGACCAUUGCUUCGACAGAUAGAAAAUUUGCAAGCAACUCUAGGGUCCCAGACAUCAUCGUGGGAGAAGUUAGAGAAGAAUCUUUCUGAUAGGCUUGGUGAAUCCCAGACCUUGUUGGCAGCAGCAGUUGAAAGAGAACGUGCAGCUACAGAAGAACUCCUUGCCAACAAAAUUCAAAUGUCCUCCAUGGAGUCACAGAAUUCACUCUUAAGGCAGGAAAAUAGUAGAUUUCAGGCCCAGCUAGAAUCAGAGAAAAAUAAGCUAAGAAAACUGGAGGAUGAAAAUAGUAGGUACCAGGUUGAAUUAGAAAACCUAAAAGAUGAAUAUGUAAGAACACUUGAAGAGACAAGGAAAGAAAAGACACUAUUGAAUAGUCAGUUAGAAAUGGAGAAAAUGAAAGUUGAACAAGAAAGGAAGAAAGCAGUUUUCACCCAAGAAGCAGUAAAAGAAAAGGAACGGAAGCCAUUUUCUGUUUCUAGCACUCCCACAAUGUCACGAUCAAGUUCAAUAAGUGGAGUUGAUAUGGCAGGGCUGCAGACAUCUUUUCUGUCUCAGGAUGAGCCUCAUGAUCAUUCAUUUGGACCAAUGUCUGUAUCAGCAAAUGGAAACAAUCUUUAUGAUGCUGUAAGAAUGGGAGCAGGAUCCAGCAUUAUUGAAAAUCUACAGUCUCAGCUAAAGCUGAGGGAAGGAGAAAUUACUCAUUUACAGCUGGAAAUUGGCAAUCUAGAAAAAACCCGCUCAAUAAUGGCUGAAGAGCUGGUUAAAUUGACUAAUCAAAAUGAUGAACUUGAAGAGAAAGUGAAGGAGAUACCCAAACUUCGAACUCAGCUAAGAGAUUUGGAUCAGAGAUACAACACUAUUCUGCAGAUGUAUGGAGAGAAAGCAGAAGAGGCAGAAGAACUUCGAUUAGAUCUUGAAGAUGUAAAAAAUAUGUAUAAGACUCAAAUAGAUGAACUUUUAAGACAAAGACUCAGUUAACUUCUAAAAAUUACAUUCCCAUCAAACUGAAUGUAAACAUUUAGUAUCUAAAAUGUAGACUUCCAAUAAAUUCUUUUAUAGAAUUAGAAAGUGGAAUUUACUGUAGAGUUCAAAAACUGAAAAAAAUUUGUUUUAUAGUAUAUAGUAAUAAUUGCAAUUAAAUUAUUUUGUGCAAUAUUUGAACUUUAUUUUUGAAACUAUUCUUUAAAGAUUUAUUUUUUAAAGCAUCCUUUUUUUUUCUUUUUCUUUUUUUUUUUUUUUUUUUUUGUCUUGAAAGCACAGAGAUUAACUACUUUUCCUCAUAUCAAUAUGGUUAGGGAAAGAGAAUGGUGUUCAUAUGGUGUUCAUAUGUGGUAUUGUAAAUAUAUUAUUAAUUGUCUCUCUAAUUUAUAUGUGUUUGUAUAUAUUAAGGACAUUUAAAGAGUGGUAUUAACAUACUAAAACUUUUAAAUCUUCCACAAUUCAACAUGUCUAAUUAUUACUUGCUGAAAAUGAACAGGUAAAAAAAAGUCUUCAUGUAAAAAAAAAAAAAAAUUAAACCUGCAAUUACUAAAUUUUGAGCUAAUUUUUUUUUUUUUUUAAGUAGAAGUCACACUGACACUGUCUGAAGUUUAAAGGGUGAAUGAUUUAAACUUAAAAAUUUUUGUGGCCCGUGAAAUUAUUUCACCCAAAUUCUAUAAUUAAGUCUGUGCAAAGUUUACCUUUCUGGUAAAAGCUAUACCUAUUCAGUUAGUUAUAUAGGCAUGAUUGGAUAGUGGAAAAAUUUUUACUUACAAUGAUUUUUUGAUGGUAUCAGUGACAUUUAAGUGAUUUUGAAGAAGUAUUGUUUUACUACCCUAUAAAAUGAAUCAAAAGUGAUAAAAUAAUAACAUAAUUUUCUCUUAAAAAUUAAUGGUUCACAUUUUGUAAAGCCUUAUUUUUUGGCACAUUAAAAAUCAAUGUUUGAUAUUACAGAAUAUUCAUAACAAAAUAGAGAAGUUAUAGGAGUUAAUUUAAAUUUGGCAUUUUGCAGUUCUGUGUAAUUUAUCAUUUUACUUUUUCUCAAAACUUAAUUUAAACACAAAAAUAGUGUGGAAAAAGCUUUAAAAACAGCUAUGCUUUCUUUCAAAUGUUAUUUUGUUUAAAAGUUAACUAGGCUGUGUUUUAGAUUUGUGAUAUAUUUUGAUACAUUUUGUUACUCAAAGUCAUUUUGCUGCCUUUAGGUGGGAAUAAAAACUCGCAUUUAAAAUUUAGUUUAAUUUUAAACACUAGAACUUGGGAGUAUAGCUACAAGCAAGCCAUGUUGAAGAAUUUGGAAUGCUUUUCAGGGCAAUUCAAGUGACCUCAUUUUUAUUCUUUUUGUAUUCCAGACAGUGUUUCUGUCAUGGAUCUCUGAUUUGUAGCACUAAUAAAUACUCUUUCAGUGUGAACCAAACUCAUAAAAUUAAUUUUCUAUAUAUUAGUGGUAAGAAGCAGUGUAAUAGCUUUUUGUCAGCUUGGAUUUUUUUUUUUUUUUUUUUUUUUUUUUUUUUUUUUUUUUUUUUUAAUAUUCAGGGGCUGACAAGGAAUGACAAGACUGAUAGCAAUAAAAAAAUGUACAGAAUUAGAAAAUAUAGGAAACUUAAGUUGCAAAAUUCUGUCAAGCAUUUGAAACUAGAAGUUUAGAAAUUACGAAACUAUUCUUUUAAAAUAUCUAUUAGUGAGAAAAUAAAGUCUUCAGUUGUGGAGAAAAGAUUGAAAUAAAACCUAUACCUUUCAAUUUCAAAAUAGUAAACAUUCUCUUUUCUUAAUUCUUAUUAACAUUAAUAAAAUCAAUUCAACUUAAAAUUUUAAAAGUGUUUUCAAUUUAUUUAACUCAAAAAUGAUAAGCAUUUGUUUAAAGCCUUGGCUGUAUAUUACCCUAUGUUCUUUAUCCAAAAAUUAAUAACGAAUAGUCAUACGUAUUUUAUUAUACACUUAGAUCUCUCAGUACAUUUUUAUAAGUUGAGAAGGUGUAGGGAAUGAGUUUCUUGAAAAAUUCCACUAAGUGGCAGAACACCUAUAGAAUUUUGGUUGCUGUAUUUUGCUGUGUGUCAUUAAAACUUCUCCAUCCAUAUUCUAGUAAGGUAAUGUUUAUAAUAGUUUGCAAUCAGAUGUUUCUAAUCUUGAAAGAAAAUAGAUAUUACAAAUGAUAAUAAUUUCAACAAUAUAAAAAAAGUAGAAGAGGUGUGAACCUUGUUGAUCUGUAGACAGCUCAAUACAGACUAGGUGUUUUUCCAACUCCUGGGAAGCUAAAUUGAGACUACCAUUUCUUUCUUUUUCAUUUCCUCUUUUUUGAGAAGUUCCAGUUGUAUACUCCUUAGCAUAUGGGAAUGUACCGAAUGUAUCUGUAUUAUGAUUUGAGGUAUUCUGAAUAUGAAUAACUUCUGACCUGGGGAAACAUGAGUUUUUGGAGUUAAUUAAGUGAAUUUUUUUUUCGCAUGAUCCCUCAAUUGGCAUUUGAUUUCUUAAUUGAAAAUUUAUGCAGAUGUGUAUUAAAAGUAUAUGAUUUGUAGUAUUUAGAAAAUAUCCACAAGAAAAAAAAAGAAAGUGACUAUAGAUAUCUUUAUCUUGUUUUACUAUUUGUCUAGUAUAUAUACAUUUUUUUCUAGUGUAUCAUAAUUUUUUAUUUUCCUUUAAAAAUCUAAUCGCCCGUAUUUCAUUCAGUUUUACACUGUGACUUUAAUUUCAUAUUUUGUAAAGGGCUAAAAGUAUGAUUUAAACUACAGAUUGACAUAAUAUUUUAAUUCUAAAUGAAAGGUAAUGUAAAUAAGCAUGGAUCUGAUUUUAAUAAAGAUUUUAAAAUAUAAAUAAUUUA
This is an RNA transcript of Leopardus geoffroyi (Geoffroy's cat), 6399 nucleotides long. It is a transcript of the gene named TATA element modulatory factor 1, with no coding region annotated. The transcript is spliced from 18 exons. The record is from RefSeq and is a predicted model, not a curated record. NCBI's taxonomy places the organism in Eukaryota, Metazoa, Chordata, Mammalia, Carnivora, Felidae.